Molecule: long non-coding RNA, 648 nt
Organism: Amphimedon queenslandica
Lineage: Eukaryota; Metazoa; Porifera; Demospongiae; Haplosclerida; Niphatidae
Exons: 3
Source: RefSeq, a predicted model, not a curated record
UAUUCUCUCGUAGGUCCUGCUUAGUGUUGUUCACUUGUGGGCCCUUUCACUAUUGUUUUCUUGUGGAUCCUGUUAUUAGUCUCUCGUGGGUACUGCUCAGUAUAUUAGACAGUUCUCUGGAUCCUAGCUGCUAUUUUUUUCUCACCUGAAUUAAAGCACAUAUUUUACUUGAUCCUGACUCUAUAUGCAAGUGUUUAUCUUUUGUCUUGUUGCUCUAGCACUUUUGGUACAUGUAUCUGAUUACUGGUCAGGUAUGGCCUUUAUAAGACUAGUGAAUACAUCCGUUCUUUCUGAUAGCAAGAUAUUGUUGCCGUGGUCUAUUAUUCGAUUGAAUGAUGAAGCAAUUACGAUUGAAGAGUUUUACAGAGAUUGUGUUGAGCCUCGAUUAGAGGGUAAUCAUUUUCAAGUAUCUUCAGCUUAUGUAGGGCAGGACAGAAAUUCACUAGAUCUUGUGGACGAACUCAGUUUACCAGUUUUAUCAGUAGUCUCAUUAUUUGGGCCAUUCCUCAGGUAUUUAGUAGUUUCUACUUCUCCUUCUCCUGUACACAAUGAUGUAUCUACACAUAACUCUACUUUACUAACAGUUCAAGCUUAUUCUGUAAAUGAGAGAACAAGGAAAGAUAAACUAUUUAAUGAUAUUGUUUCUUU